RNAcentral lists this unclassified non-coding RNA (806 nucleotides) under Cimex lectularius (bed bug). RNAcentral's name for it is "centrosomal protein of 19 kDa-like, transcript variant X1". Lineage: Eukaryota; Metazoa; Arthropoda; Insecta; Hemiptera; Cimicidae. The record is from RNAcentral.
AAUUCAGGCUUCUACUCUCUUGUAUUAAAUUAUGGUGAAUAAAUUUUUUUUUAGAAACCAUCAAUGAUCGUAUAUUUUUUAAUUAUCUAUCAUGUCUUGUACGCCUUAUUUGAGAGAAUGAAAUCUGUGAUGAAAAAAGGGAUGGUGUUGCCGAGGAAGGUCGGGGUCCGCAUCGAUCCGCCGGCUGUCAUCCUUGUCUACGACGUUUGGGGCAAGAUGAGGAUGAGGACGAUGCCCGUCCGCAACGUCUGGGAUUCUACAAGCUCUGCUUUCAUCCUGGAGGAUCUCAAGUCACGCCACGAUGUCCUCAACUCCGUCCCAGAUUCGACGAUCCUCAAGAUGAUCGAGGUGUUGAAAAGAGUCAAAAAAGGAGACUCGCUCCAAGACGCCCUGAAGACAAUAGGCAGUGGAGAUUUCGACGAGAAAAACAAAGAAUUGACGCCGAACGUCACCAAAGAUAAAACCCUGGAGGAUCAGGGGACCAGGUCCAACGAUGAGGACACCGACUUCGAACUAGAGGAGGAACUACCUUUAGACGACCUAUCAGAUGAUUUCUGAAAUAUCUUUGGAAGGAUAAAACAUGUUUCCCAAGUGUUGUGGAUAAAUAACCUCUCCAGUUAAUCUUAACCGGAACUUGAAACCGGCCGUGAUGACGAAAGGCACAAAAUUUUGAAACGCACAUCGCAGAGGAGACUCGGGGUUUUCCUAGUGGUUCGGCCGAUUUGUACGACAAUGUAUCUCGUUUCCGUGUGUUUGUCUGCAGCCCUAUUAACGAUUAGACAAUAUAUUUCUUCGUUUUAAAAAAA